This 759-nucleotide unclassified non-coding RNA is filed under the name Aspergillus jensenii. Its description in RNAcentral is "sequence contains ITS1, 5.8S rRNA gene, ITS2". The stretch from base 522 to 759 matches the Rfam family "Eukaryotic large subunit ribosomal RNA", at positions 1 to 236 of the family's 3401-position model. The record is from RNAcentral. Lineage: Eukaryota; Fungi; Ascomycota; Eurotiomycetes; Eurotiales; Aspergillaceae.
GUAACAAGGUUUCCGUAGGUGAACCUGCGGAAGGAUCAUUACCGAGUGCGGGCUGCCUCCGGGCGCCCAACCUCCCACCCGUGACUACCUAACACUGUUGCUUCGGCGGGGAGCCCUCUCGGGGGCGAGCCGCCGGGGACUACUGAACUUCAUGCCUGAGAGUGAUGCAGUCUGAGUCUGAAUAUAAAAUCAGUCAAAACUUUCAACAAUGGAUCUCUUGGUUCCGGCAUCGAUGAAGAACGCAGCGAACUGCGAUAAGUAAUGUGAAUUGCAGAAUUCAGUGAAUCAUCGAGUCUUUGAACGCACAUUGCGCCCCCUGGCAUUCCGGGGGGCAUGCCUGUCCGAGCGUCAUUGCUGCCCAUCAAGCCCGGCUUGUGUGUUGGGUCGUCGUCCCCCCCGGGGGACGGGCCCGAAAGGCAGCGGCGGCACCGUGUCCGGUCCUCGAGCGUAUGGGGCUUUGUCACCCGCUCGAUUAGGGCCGGCCGGGCGCCAGCCGACGUCUCCAACCAUUUUCUUCAGGUUGACCUCGGAUCAGGUAGGGAUACCCGCUGAACUUAAGCAUAUCAAUAAGCGGAGGAAAAGAAACCAACCGGGAUUGCCCCAGUAACGGCGAGUGAAGCGGCAAGAGCUCAAAUUUGAAAUCUGGCCCCUCCGGGGUCCGAGUUGUAAUUUGCAGAGGAUGCUUCGGGUGCGGCCCCUGUCUAAGUGCCCUGGAACGGGCCGUCAGAGAGGGUGAGAAUCCCGUCUUGGGCAGGGUGC